RNAcentral lists this ribosomal RNA (119 nucleotides) under Colletotrichum chlorophyti. The record is from RNAcentral. Lineage: Eukaryota; Fungi; Ascomycota; Sordariomycetes; Glomerellales; Glomerellaceae.
ACAUACGAUCAUACCCACUAGAGAACUCGGGAUCCCGUCCGCUCUCCCUAGAUAAGCCAGUGAGGGCCGGAUUAGUAGUUGGGUCGGUGACGACCAGCGAAUACCUGGUGUUGUAUGNU